This 492-nucleotide ribosomal RNA is filed under the name uncultured bacterium. RNAcentral's name for it is "partial 16S ribosomal RNA". It matches the Rfam family "Bacterial small subunit ribosomal RNA", at positions 30 to 507 of the family's 1533-position model. The record is from RNAcentral.
AUUGAACGCUGGCGGUAGGCCUAACACAUGCAAGUCGAACGGCAGCACAGUAAGAGCUUGCUCUUACGGGUGGCGAGUGGCGGACGGGUGAGGAAUACAUCGGAAUCUACUUUUUCGUGGGGGAGAACGUAGGGAAACUUACGCUAAUACCGCAUACGACCUACGGGUGAAAGCAGGGGAUCUUCGGACCUUGCGCGAUUGAAUGAGCCGAUGUCGGAUUAGCUAGUUGGCGGGGUAAAGGCCCACCAAGGCGACGAUCCGUAGCUGGUCUGAGAGGAUGAUCAGCCACACUGGAACUGAGACACGGUCCAGACUCCUACGGGAGGCAGCAGUGGGGAAUAUUGGACAAUGGGCGCAAGCCUGAUCCAGCCAUACCGCGUGGGUGAAGAAGGCCUUCGGGUUGUAAAGCCCUUUUGUUGGGAAAGAAAAGCAGCAGGUUAAUACCCCGCUGUUCUGACGGUACCCAAAGAAUAAGCACCGGCUAACUUCGUG